UUCCCACGGGGCGCAGCAGUGAGGAGUAUUGGUCAAUAGGCUUACGCCUGAACCAGCCAAGUCGCGUGAGGGAAGACUGCCCUAUGGGUUGUAAACCUCUUUUGUCAGGGAGCAAUUGGCGCUACGUGUAGCGUUAUCGAGAGUACCUGAAGAAAAAGCAUCGGCUAACUCCGUGCCAGCAGCCGCGGUAAUACGGAGGAUGCGAGCGUUAUCCGGAUUUAUUGGGUUUAAAGGGUGCGCAGGCGGUCUGUUAAGUCAGCGGUCAAAGCCCGGGGCUCAACCCCGGCCCGCCGGUGGAACUGGCA
This 305-nucleotide ribosomal RNA is filed under the name uncultured bacterium. Its description in RNAcentral is "bacterial SSU rRNA". It matches the Rfam family "Bacterial small subunit ribosomal RNA", at positions 335 to 638 of the family's 1533-position model. The record is from RNAcentral.